RNAcentral lists this ribosomal RNA (378 nucleotides) under Triticum aestivum (bread wheat). RNAcentral describes it as "partial small subunit ribosomal RNA". The record is from RNAcentral. Lineage: Eukaryota; Viridiplantae; Streptophyta; Magnoliopsida; Poales; Poaceae.
GAGAAUGUCCUCAACCCUUCCAGGGGAGAACGAGUAUGCUUUUUUCCCUACUUGUUGAGAGGUGUCGGAUUUCCAAUCCAUCCAUUCCUCCGAGGUCUUCUAGAGUAUUAUGGCCUCAAACUGCACAAUUUCACUCCUACCUCCAUCCUGCAUAUUGCGGGUUACGUUGCUCUUUGCGAGCUAUUCCUGGGUUGCGAGGCCCAUUUUGAGUUAUGGAAGAAGCUAUUCUGCCUCAUCCCUCCUAAUCAAGAGGGGUCAAUAUUUCAAGUGGGCGGCGUCGAGGUAUGGCGUAUCGCCGGGACCGGAUACCUGUCCGGCACGCCAAUGAAGGCAUACGAAGAGUGUCCUUCCGAAUGGUUCUAUAUUGAGGAUGCCUCC